Molecule: long non-coding RNA, 578 nt
Organism: Spinacia oleracea (spinach)
Lineage: Eukaryota; Viridiplantae; Streptophyta; Magnoliopsida; Caryophyllales; Amaranthaceae
Exons: 4
Source: RefSeq, a predicted model, not a curated record
GGAGCGUGCAAAAUGCUUCCACGAACUCUUAAAGAGCCUGCGCAAGAAACUGGAAUGGCUGUUUCUUUCAAGAACCUUAAACCUAAAGGUUUCCAGGGUGACAAGGAGUAUUGGUUGUUGGUGGACAACUUAAAUUGGAGGGUGUGCAAAAUGAGAUCGACAAUAUAUUAACAAGUACAGGGAUCAAAUAGUACGCUCUUGCAUUCAAGUUCUCGCUCUCUUAUCAACGCCUUCAGGCAAAGGCUUUCCCUUGGCUUCUUUACUUUGGUCUCCGUUCUGCCUCACGUAGCAGAAAUACCUUUUUAUCCUGUUCAAUCCCAGAUGUUAAAGCUCAUAUUGGUUGGCAUCUCAAGUUCCCCUGGAGUAGUAUCUAACAAACUUGUUGAAGCAAUAAGUGGUUCCUUGAAGCUAAUGCUAAAGAGAUACAAUGCUGGAGAUAUGGGUCUAUACUCCGAGGAAUGCGCCUUAUGCUAGUGAGGAAAUCGAUGUGGUUCGUGAGCAAUGGGCUAAGGUUUUUACCAGCAAGUACUUAUUAUUGGCUUGAGCGUGCUUGAUCGAGUUGGUUUAGAUGUUAUAGA